RNAcentral lists this long non-coding RNA (1091 nucleotides) under Capra hircus (goat). RNAcentral describes it as "lncRNA (ENSCHIG00010007033.1)". The record is from RNAcentral. Lineage: Eukaryota; Metazoa; Chordata; Mammalia; Artiodactyla; Bovidae.
AGAGAACUCAGAGUUUGUCCUCACACAAGGCAAGAGAGCUGGACUUUCGUACUGUACCUGUCAUUCUCCAGACUCCAGUAGCCUGAGCUGUCACCUAAGAGAGGUCCAGGUGCAGACUGUCAGAGGACAAAGAACACGGUGGCCAGGAGAAGAGCAGUCAGAAAGGAGAAGGGAGACUGAGGACGUGCAGGAAGCACUGACAAUGUCCGGGAGAGAUAAGAAAUGAUGCUACAAUGUAGUAAACAGAUCUCACAUGAAGGGAGGCCUGGCGUGCUGCAAUUCAUGAGGUCGCAAAGAGUUGGACAGACCGAGCGACUGAACUGAACUGAACAUUGCUCUCUGAGAACAGAUCAAUGCUGUUUUUCAAGUUGCAUUCAUCUUUUAGAUUCUCUGAAACAUUUGUCUGGUGUCCCAGCAGUUACCAUGCCCCUCCUCACAGCAUUUGGAAAAGCCUGCUUUAUUUUCAGAUUCUCUCCCCUGCGAAAUCUCAGCUCUUUCUUAGUCAAUACGGUCAUCAGUAACUUGUGGUACUGUAGUAAAUCUGAAGAAAGCAAGCAAAAAAUAAAAAAAUGUUUGUUGGACUCUCAGUGACCUUUGAAAAUAGUCACAAGCAAGGGGAAAACUCCAUGGAGCUGAAAGGAAAAUACCUGUGCACCAAACCCUGCCUUCCCCUUUCACAUAGCAGGUGGUCUGUGCUGCAUAACCCACUGGUCAUGUGACCAAGCCCUUGUACGGGGGCUGAGAAUGAGAGCAAUGUGAUGUGGACCACCUCCAGGCCUGGCCCUCAAAACCACCUGUGACAUUGUUAGAAUAAUCCUCCUUUAAGUAAAAACUACAUUCCUAUCAUAGCUAUUUGCUAAUCUUUAUUUCUUUCUUCUGAAGUACAUAUGAUCACUUUCUUCCAUUUGCCUUUUUCUAACUCUAAGAAUCUGUGAUUUCAUAACUAAGCUCAGCAUGCCUUUUCAAAUGACUCAGUGAUUAAAACUGAGGGCAUCCAGUUGAUCUUAGGGACUUCCCUAUUGCUCAGAUGGUAAAGAAUCUUCCUGUAAUGCAGGAAACCUGGGUUUGAUCCCUGGGUCAGGAAGAUCCCC